This 404-nucleotide ribosomal RNA is filed under the name uncultured bacterium. Its description in RNAcentral is "bacterial SSU rRNA". It matches the Rfam family "Bacterial small subunit ribosomal RNA", at positions 355 to 776 of the family's 1533-position model. The record is from RNAcentral.
UGGGGAAUAUUGGACAAUGGGCGAAAGCCUGAUCCAGCAAUGCCGCGUGAGUGAUGAAGGCCUUAGGGUUGUAAAGCUCUUUUAGUAGAGAAGAUAAUGACGGUAUCUACAGAAAAAGCCCCGGCUAACUCCGUGCCAGCAGCCGCGGUAAUACGGAGGGGGCUAGCGUUGUUCGGAAUUACUGGGCGUAAAGAGCGCGUAGGCGGUCUGUAAAGUUGGAAGUGAAAGCCCAAGGCUUAACCUUGGAAUUGCUUUCAAAACUUACAGACUAGAGGAUGUUAGAGGAUGGUGGAAUUCCUAGUGUAGAGGUGAAAUUCUUAGAUAUUAGGAGGAACACCGGUGGCGAAGGCGGCCAUCUGGGACAUAUCUGACGCUGAGGCGCGAAAGCGUGGGGAGCAAACAGG